This 372-nucleotide ribosomal RNA is filed under the name uncultured organism. RNAcentral describes it as "bacterial SSU rRNA". It matches the Rfam family "Bacterial small subunit ribosomal RNA", at positions 526 to 896 of the family's 1533-position model. The record is from RNAcentral.
CGGGGGGGGCAAGCGUUGUUCGGAAUUACUGGGCGUAAAGGGUGCGUAGGCGGCUUUCUAAGUUGGAUGUGAAAACUAUGGGCUCAACCCAUAGCCUGCAUCCAAAACUGGAGAGCUUGGGUUCUGGAGGGGAAAGCGGAAUUCCUGGUGUAGCGGUGAAAUGCGUAGAUAUCAGGAGGAACACCGGUGGCGAAGGCGGCUUUCUGGACAGAUACCGACGCUGAGGCACGAAAGCUAGGGGAGCAAACAGGAUUAGAUACCCUGGUAGUCCUAGCCCUAAACGAUGGAUACUUGCUGUGAGGGGGAUUGAAACCCUUUGUGGCGAAGCUAACGCAUUAAGUAUCCCGCCUGGGGAGUACGGUCGCAAGGCUG